This 468-nucleotide ribosomal RNA is filed under the name uncultured bacterium. Its description in RNAcentral is "partial 16S ribosomal RNA". It matches the Rfam family "Bacterial small subunit ribosomal RNA", at positions 28 to 507 of the family's 1533-position model. The record is from RNAcentral.
GACGAACGCUGGCGGCGUGCUUAACACAUGCAAGUCGAACGGAAAGGCCCUGCUUUUGUGGGGGGCUCGGGGGGCGAAAGGGUGGAUAAAAAGGGAGUUAACUGGCCUUGACUUUGGGAUAACUUCCGGGAAAUGGGGGCUAAUCCCGGUAAGGAGUCCUUGUGCCUGGUGGGGGUUGGGAAAGUUCGGCGGUUGGGGAUGGACUCGCGGCUUAUCAGCUUGUUGGUGGGGUAGUGGCUUACCAAGGCUUUGACGGGUAGCCGGCCUGAGAGGGUGACCGGCCACAUUGGGACUGAGAUACGGCCCAGACUCCUACGGGAGGCAGCAGUGGGGAAUAUUGCACAAUGGGCGGAAGCCUGAUGCAGCAACGCCGCGUGCGGGAUGACGGCCUUCGGGUUGUAAACCGCUUUCGCCUGUGACGAAGCGUGAGUGACGGUAAUGGGUAAAGAAGCACCGGCUAACUACGUG